CAGGUGUGGUUCAAUGGUAGAACACCAGCCUUCCAAGCUGGUAACGUGGGUUCGAUUCCCAUCACCUG
RNAcentral lists this transfer RNA (68 nucleotides) under bovine gut metagenome. It matches the Rfam family "tRNA". From Rfam's summary of the family: Transfer RNA (tRNA) molecules are approximately 80 nucleotides in length. Their secondary structure includes four short double-helical elements and three loops (D, anti-codon, and T loops). Further hydrogen bonds mediate the characteristic L-shaped molecular structure. tRNAs have two regions of fundamental functional importance: the anti-codon, which is responsible for specific mRNA codon recognition, and the 3' end, to which the tRNAs corresponding amino acid is attached (by aminoacyl-tRNA synthetases). tRNAs cope with the degeneracy of the genetic code in two manners: having more than one tRNA (with a specific anti-codon) for a particular amino acid; and 'wobble' base-pairing, i.e. permitting non-standard base-pairing at the 3rd anti-codon position. The record is from RNAcentral.